GCCCAUGUAGCUCAGUUGGUAGAGCACAUCCUUGGUAAGGAUGAGGUCACCAGUUCAAUCCUGGUCAUGGGCU
RNAcentral lists this transfer RNA (73 nucleotides) under Pseudomonadota bacterium. RNAcentral describes it as "tRNA-Thr". It matches the Rfam family "tRNA". From Rfam's summary of the family: Transfer RNA (tRNA) molecules are approximately 80 nucleotides in length. Their secondary structure includes four short double-helical elements and three loops (D, anti-codon, and T loops). The record is from RNAcentral. Lineage: Bacteria; Pseudomonadati; Pseudomonadota. RNAcentral also lists the same sequence under 2 other names.